AGCUCAACAAACUAUUAUAUGUAUAGAGAAUUGGCAGAGCAAUUCAUAUCAAAAGGAUUAUCCAAAGAUGUACUUCCUAGUUCUUCAAGUAUGUCAUUAUCUUAUGGCAGGCUAGAUUACUGAAAUAAAUAAAAAGCGUGAAAUCUGAUCUGAAACAAUUACAACAAAGUAUGCAGACUAAUGUCACUCAACUAACCUGCCGAUGAUGUGGUCGCAGGCUGUAAUAUAGGAAAUAUGUUUAUGAAUGUCAAGGAUCAUCUGUAUGUCUUAGUCAUUUAAUAACUGUCAUGUUUUGUGCCAGCCAGAUAUACGCCUCAGAAAUAUACUGAUAAAGCUCUUGGUUCCGUCAAAAACUAAAAA
Long non-coding RNA from Monomorium pharaonis (pharaoh ant), 360 nucleotides. RefSeq lists it as uncharacterized. The record is from RefSeq and is a predicted model, not a curated record. NCBI's taxonomy places the organism in Eukaryota, Metazoa, Arthropoda, Insecta, Hymenoptera, Formicidae. The transcript has 2 exons.